Molecule: ribosomal RNA, 583 nt
Filed under: uncultured bacterium
Lineage: Bacteria
Description: bacterial SSU rRNA
Rfam family: Bacterial small subunit ribosomal RNA
Source: RNAcentral
UCCUACGGGAGGCAGCAGUAGGGAAUCUUCCGCAAUGGACGAAAGUCUGACGGAGCAACGCCGCGUGAGUGAUGAAGGUUUUCGGAUCGUAAAGCUCUGUUGUUAGGGAAGAACAAGUGCGAGAGUAACUGCUCGCACCUUGACGGUACCUAACCAGAAAGCCACGGCUAACUACGUGCCAGCAGCCGCGGUAAUACGUAGGUGGCAAGCGUUGUCCGGAAUUAUUGGGCGUAAAGGGCUCGCAGGCGGUUUCUUAAGUCUGAUGUGAAAGCCCCCGGCUCAACCGGGGAGGGUCAUUGGAAACUGGGAAACUUGAGUGCAGAAGAGGAGAGUGGAAUUCCACGUGUAGCGGUGAAAUGCGUAGAGAUGUGGAGGAACACCAGUGGCGAAGGCGACUCUCUGGUCUGUAACUGACGCUGAGGAGCGAAAGCGUGGGGAGCGAACAGGAUUAGAUACCCUGGUAGUCCACGCCGUAAACGAUGAGUGCUAAGUGUUAGGGGGUUUCCGCCCCUUAGUGCUGCAGCUAACGCAUUAAGCACUCCGCCUGGGGAGUACGGUCGCAAGACUGAAACUCAAAGGAAUU